CCUACGGGAGGCAGCAGUGAGGAAUAUUGGUCAAUGGGCGGGAGCCUGAACCAGCCAAGCCGCGUGAGGGAUGACGGCCCUAUGGGUUGUAAACCUCUUUUGCCGGGGAGCAAAGUGCCGCACGUGUGCGGUUUGGAGAGUACCCGGAGAAAAAGCAUCGGCUAACUCCGUGCCAGCAGCCGCGGUAAUACGGAGGAUGCGAGCGUUAUCCGGAUUUAUUGGGUUUAAAGGGUGCGUAGGCGGACGCUUAAGUCAGCGGUAAAAUGGCGGGGCUCAACCUCGUCGAGCCGUUGAAACUGGGUGCCUUGAGUGGGCGAGAGGUACGCGGAAUGCGUGGUGUAGCGGUGAAAUGCGUAGAUAUCACGCAGAACUCCGAUUGCGAAGGCAGCAUACCGGCGCCCAACUGACGCUGAGGCACGAAGGCGUGGGUAUCGAACAGGAUUAGAUACCCUUGUAGUC
RNAcentral lists this ribosomal RNA (459 nucleotides) under uncultured bacterium. RNAcentral's name for it is "partial 16S ribosomal RNA". It matches the Rfam family "Bacterial small subunit ribosomal RNA", at positions 338 to 795 of the family's 1533-position model. The record is from RNAcentral.